AGAGUUUGAUCAUGGCUCAGGACGAACGCUGGCGGCGCGCUUAACACAUGCAAGUCGAGCGAGAACCUUUCCUUCGGGAUUGGGGACAGCGGCGAACGGGUGAGUAACACGUGGGUAAUCUGCCCUUGACAUCGGGAUAGCCCGGGGAAACUCGGAUUAAUACCGAAUAGCCUCCGGAGCCUUCGGGCGCCGGAGAAAAGGUAGCUUCGGCCUCUGGUCAAGGAUGAGCCCGCGGCGGAUUAGCUUGUUGGCGGGGUAAUGGCCCACCAAGGCGACGAUCCGUAGCUGGUCUGAGAGGACGAUCAGCCACACUGGGACUGAGACACGGCCCAGACUCCUACGGGAGGCAGCAGUGGGGAAUCUUGCGCAAAUGCGGGAAACCGUGACGCAGCGACGCCGCGUGGGGGAAGAAGGCCUUCGGGUUGUAAACCUCUUUCAGGGGGGACGAAGCUACUCGGGUUAAUAGCCCAGAGGGUGACGGUACCUUCAGAAGAAGCCCGGCUAACUACCUUGCCAGCAGCCGCGGUA
Molecule: ribosomal RNA, 528 nt
Filed under: uncultured Actinomycetes bacterium
Lineage: Bacteria; Bacillati; Actinomycetota; Actinomycetes
Description: bacterial SSU rRNA
Rfam family: Bacterial small subunit ribosomal RNA
Source: RNAcentral